UUUUUGAGUCCUGUCUACGACAGCAUAAGAAUUUUAACUAACAAUUUCACAGUGAACCUGCGGAAGGAUCAUUACUGAGUGUUAGAGUUGGUCUUCGGACUGCUCAACCUCCCACACUUUGUUUAUCAUACCUCUGUUGCUUCGGCGGAUCGUCAGUAUUUUCUGCCUCUGGUUUAAUUACUAGAGAGUUAUCUGCCGAAGAUAUUUUAAAUCUUGAUUUUAAAUUGUCUGAUUUAAAAAUUCAAAAGUUAAAACUUUCAACAACGGAUCUCUUGGUUCUGGCAUCGAUGAAGAACGCAGCGAAAUGCGAUAAGUAAUGUGAAUUGCAGAAUUCAGUGAAUCAUCGAAUCUUUGAACGCACAUUGCACCUUUUGGUAUUCCGAAAGGUAUACUUGUUCGAGCGCCGUUUCAAUCCUCAAGCUUUGCUUGGUGUUGGAUAUCUUCUAUGGAAGAUUCUGAAACAAUUUGGCGUCAUCAGUCAAGUCAUAGCGUGACAAAUCUCGCUAAAUGAUUAGACCGGAAGAUAGCCUAUCCAUUCUAUCUUGAAUGAUGGCCUCGGAUCAAGUAAGGUUACCCGCUGAACUUAAGCAUAUCAAUAAGCGGAGGAAAAGAAACCAACAGGGAUUGCCUCAGUAACGGCGAGUGAAGCGGCAUCAGCUCAAAUUUGAAAUCUGACUUCGGUCCGAAUUGUAAUUUGAAGAGGAAAGUUCGGUUGAGAUUAGGGCCUGAGUCUUCUGGAAAGAAGCGCCAUAGAGGGUGAGAGCCCCGUUCGGUCUAUUAUCAAUACCAUGUGAACUUCCUUCGACGAGUCGAGUUGUUUGGGAAUGCAGCUCAAAAUGGGUGGUAAAUUCCAUCUAAAGCUAAAUAUUGGCCAGAGACCGAUAGCGCACAAGUAGAGUGAUCGAAAGAUGAAAAGCACUUUGGAAAGAGAGUCAAAAAGUACGUGAAAUUGUUGAAAGGGAAGCGCUCGCAACCAGACUCGUUUUCAGGAGUUCAAUUGACUUCGGUCAGUGCAUUCUUCUGUUUCGGGCCAGCAUGAAUUUCGAGAGUUGGAUAAAAACAGUUGGAACGUAGCUCUUCGGAGUAUUAUAGCCUUCUGUGCAAUACUUCUACUCGGGAUUGAGGACAGCGAU
This 1133-nucleotide ribosomal RNA is filed under the name uncultured fungus. Its description in RNAcentral is "eukaryotic LSU rRNA". The stretch from base 551 to 1133 matches the Rfam family "Eukaryotic large subunit ribosomal RNA", at positions 1 to 588 of the family's 3401-position model. Lineage: Eukaryota; Fungi. The record is from RNAcentral.